GGGGGGGGGGGGGGGGGGGGGUGGGGGGGGGGGGUGGGGGGGGGGGGGGCUGCGUGGGUGGGGUGCGGGAGGGGCGGGCGGGUGGGGAACGGGUGCGUGAGGUGCCGUUGACUUUGGGAUGAGUUCAGGAAACUGGGGCUAAUAGGGGAUCGGAGCGCCUGCUGGAUGGUGGGGGGUGGAAAGUUUCGGCGGUUGGGGAUGGACUCGCGGCUUAUCAUGUUGUUGGUGGGGUAGGGGCUUACCAAGGCAUUGACGGGUAGCCGGCCUGAGAGGGUGACCGGCCAAAUUGGGACUGAGAUACGGCCCAGACUCCUACGGGAGGCAGCAGCGGGGAAUAUUGAACAAUGGGCGGAAGCCUGAUGCAGCAACGCCGCGUGCGGGAUGACGGCCUUCGGGUUGUAAACCGCUUUCGCCUGUGACGAAGCGUGAGUGACGGUAAUGGGUAAAGAAGCACCGGCUAACUACGUG
RNAcentral lists this ribosomal RNA (468 nucleotides) under uncultured bacterium. RNAcentral's name for it is "partial 16S ribosomal RNA". The stretch from base 49 to 468 matches the Rfam family "Bacterial small subunit ribosomal RNA", at positions 39 to 507 of the family's 1533-position model. The record is from RNAcentral.